Molecule: ribosomal RNA, 503 nt
Filed under: uncultured bacterium
Lineage: Bacteria
Description: bacterial SSU rRNA
Rfam family: Bacterial small subunit ribosomal RNA
Source: RNAcentral
AUCCUGGCUCAGGAUGAACGCUAGCUACAGGCUUAACACAUGCAAGUCGAGGGGAAACGACAUCAAGAGCUUGCUUUUGAUGGGCGUCGACCGGCGCACGGGUGAGUAACGCGUAUCCAACCUGCCCACCACUUGGGGAUAACCUUGCGAAAGUAAGACUAAUACCCAAUGAUAUCUCUAGAAGACAUCUGAAAGAGAUUAAAGAUUUAUCGGUGAUGGAUGGGGAUGCGUCUGAUUAGCUUGUUGACGGGGUAACGGCCCACCAAGGCGACGAUCAGUAGGGGUUCUGAGAGGAAGGUCCCCCACAUUGGAACUGAGACACGGUCCAAACUCCUACGGGAGGCAGCAGUGAGGAAUAUUGGUCAAUGGGCGAGAGCCUGAACCAGCCAAGUAGCGUGCAGGAUGACGGCCCUAUGGGUUGUAAACUGCUUUUAUAAGGGAAUAAAGUGAGAGUCGUGACUCUUUUGCAUGUACCUUAUGAAUAAGGACCGGCUAAUUCCGUG